This 460-nucleotide ribosomal RNA is filed under the name uncultured bacterium. RNAcentral's name for it is "partial 16S ribosomal RNA". It matches the Rfam family "Bacterial small subunit ribosomal RNA", at positions 338 to 795 of the family's 1533-position model. The record is from RNAcentral.
CCUACGGGAGGCUGCAGUGAGGAAUAUUGGUCAAUGGCCGUAAGGCUGAACCAGCCAAGUCGCGUGAAGGAAGAAGGAUCUAUGGUUUGUAAACUUCUUUUAUAGGGGAAUAAAGGUAUCCACGUGUGGAUAUUUGCAUGUACCCUAUGAAUAAGCAUCGGCUAACUCCGUGCCAGCAGCCGCGGUAAUACGGAGGAUGCGAGCGUUAUCCGGAUUUAUUGGGUUUAAAGGGUCCGUAGGUGGUUUUUUAAGUCAGCGGUGAAAGUUUGGGGCUCAACCAUAGAAGUGCCGUUGAAACUGGAAGACUUGAGUGUGGUUGAGGUAGGCGGAAUGCGUGGUGUAGCGGUAAAAUGCAUAGAGAUCACGCAGAACUCUGAUUGCGAAGGCAGCUUACUAGGCCAUAACUGACACUGAUGCACGAAAGCGUGGGGAGCAAACAGGAUUAGAUACCCCAGUAGUC